AUGGAUGGAGAACUAAAGCUACACCCAUAUUGCGUGGCGAAAUAUGGAAAGAAGUGGCUCGAGGGGUAUAGCUUAGAGAAAAGAAUGGAAGGCGCUAUAGGGAAAGUAAGAAUACGGCUCUCCUAUCUACAACCGGGUAAAGCAAAAGUUGGAACAUACCCUAUACUCCGUUUGCAUCCUACGGGGGUCAAGCUACUGGGGGAACUGCGCCUAUCAGUAAUUUUUUCAGCAGAUUCAGUAGCGAAAGUGCUGCGCAUGUACUCUUCCCCCAUUCUACCCGAGAUGCACUACAAGGAAAAACUUUCAGAGAUUGUGCAAGAUAAUUUGCGGCUUCAUGCUGUCAGGAUAUUGUCUGCUCGAUUCAGCCAGAUGGAUCCCCCUCUUUGGAAGGAAGUUGUGGAGGACAUGUGUGACAUUCGCAGCACCUCAUGGAGCAUGCGGAAGAGCAACGCAAACUUCUAUAGGAUCGUGAGUGUCCUCUCUUACUACCAUGCAUUUUACGAAUGGCUUGGUGGCAUAUGUUUAUGGAAUAAUCCUACGACCACUUUGCUGGCCCAUGCCAUGUUGCUCAUGCUUGUUUCAUAUCCUGAGUUCAUACUCCCAGGGGUGUUCCUAUGUGUCCUCUCUGUUACAGCGUGGAACUACCGGUGCCGCCAUUCUCAUCCAGCUGUUACCUGGCUCUCUCUAACAAAUGAAGCACAUCCAGAUGAGCUUGAUGAGGAAUUUGAUACGUUUCCAACUUCACAGAAUCCUAGAGUAGUAAUGAUGAGAUAUGAUAGGCUAAGGCAUGUUGCCGCCAGAAUACAGACAGUCCUGGGAGAUUUUGCCUCCCAUCUGGAGAGAAUCCAAGCAUUGGCCAGCUGGAGGGAUACUCCAGCAACGGCAAUAUUUGGGAUCUUUACUCUUUCGGCAGCUCUUGUUCUAUAUUUUAUACCAUGGAAAAUUCUCGUCCUGCUUACUGGGCUAUACACGAUGAGGCACCCCAAGCUGCGACGGCAGACGUGGAUGCCGUCAAUUCUUGCAAACAUCUACUGGCGAUUGCCGCAGAAGACACACAUGUUGUUGUAA
RNAcentral lists this ribosomal RNA (1068 nucleotides) under Triticum aestivum (bread wheat). Its description in RNAcentral is "partial small subunit ribosomal RNA". Lineage: Eukaryota; Viridiplantae; Streptophyta; Magnoliopsida; Poales; Poaceae. The record is from RNAcentral.